UGCUCCUAGUGUUCAGUGUGCGCCUUGUAUGGCGGAAACCCCGACAUCGGGGUGAAUGUGAGGCAUUAUUUGUAAAGCGCUUUGAGCGUUUGACACAGAUGGAAAAGCGCUAUAUAAAUGCAGUCCAUUUAACAUUACUGUGAGG
This is a long non-coding RNA of Thalassophryne amazonica, 145 nucleotides long. RefSeq lists it as uncharacterized. NCBI's taxonomy places the organism in Eukaryota, Metazoa, Chordata, Actinopteri, Batrachoidiformes, Batrachoididae. The record is from RefSeq and is a predicted model, not a curated record. The transcript has 3 exons.